This 119-nucleotide ribosomal RNA is filed under the name Lepisosteus oculatus (spotted gar). Lineage: Eukaryota; Metazoa; Chordata; Actinopteri; Semionotiformes; Lepisosteidae. The record is from RNAcentral.
GCCAGCAGCCAUAUCACCCUGCAAUUCACAACUGGCAGCCCACUGAAGCUCAGCAGCUGUGAGCCUGGUCAGUACCUGGGUGGGAGACUACCAGGGAAAAACUAAGGUUGCUGCUGGAA